Molecule: ribosomal RNA, 301 nt
Filed under: uncultured bacterium
Lineage: Bacteria
Description: partial 16S ribosomal RNA
Rfam family: Bacterial small subunit ribosomal RNA
Source: RNAcentral
CAGCAGCCGCGGUAAAACGAAGGGGGCUAGCGUUGUUCGGAAUUACUGGGCGUAAAGCGCACGUAGGCGGAUCGAUCAGUCAGGGGUGAAAUCCCAGGGCUCAACCCUGGAACUGCCUUUGAUACUGUCGAUCUGGAGUAUGGAAGAGGUGAGUGGAAUUCCGAGUGUAGAGGUGAAAUUCGUAGAUAUUCGGAGGAACACCAGUGGCGAAGGCGGCUCACUGGUCCAUUACUGACGCUGAGGUGCGAAAGCGUGGGGAGCAAACAGGAUUAGAUACCCCCGUAGUCCCUGUCUCUUAUAC